This 507-nucleotide ribosomal RNA is filed under the name uncultured Glomus. Its description in RNAcentral is "SSU rRNA". It matches the Rfam family "Eukaryotic small subunit ribosomal RNA", at positions 569 to 1078 of the family's 1831-position model. Lineage: Eukaryota; Fungi; Glomeromycota; Glomeromycetes; Glomerales; Glomeraceae. The record is from RNAcentral.
AGCAGCCGCGGUAAUUCCAGCUCCAAUAGCGUAUAUUAAAGUUGUUGCAGUUAAAAAGCUCGUAGUUGAAUUUCGGGAUCAGAUUGUCGGUCGUGCCUCGGUACGCACUGGCAUUAUUGGUUCCUACCUUCUGAAGAACCGCGAUGUCAUUAAUUUGGUGUCGUGGGGAAUCAGGACUGUUACUUUGAAAAAAUUAGGGUGUUUAAAGCAGGCGCACGCUUGAAUACAUUAGCAUGGAAUAAUGAAAUAGGACGUUUGAUUCUAUUUUGUUGGUUUCUAGGAUCGACGUAAUGAUUAAUAGGGAUAGUUGGGGGCAUUAGUAUUCAAUUGUCAGAGGUGAAAUUCUUGGAUUUAUUGGAGACUAACUACUGCGAAAGCAUUUGCCAAGGAUGUUUUCAUUAAUCAAGAACGAAAGUUAGGGGAUCGAAGACGAUCAGAUACCGUCGUAGUCUUAGCCAUAAACUAUGCCGACUAGGGAUCGGAUGAUGUUGAUUUUUUAAUGACUUA